This 431-nucleotide unclassified non-coding RNA is filed under the name Hevea brasiliensis (rubber tree). Lineage: Eukaryota; Viridiplantae; Streptophyta; Magnoliopsida; Malpighiales; Euphorbiaceae. The record is from RNAcentral.
AAAAAGGCAAAAAAAAAGGGGCGCUGGGUGUUGGCAGCAAGGGAUCUUCGCACAGAUCAGUGAGAGCACCAAAACCGCAGGAAAUUGCCCCAAAACCGAGGCAGCGUGGACGCCCGACACGAAAAGGCAGAGAGAGCCCGGCAGCAAAACCUCCCAAAAAACGUGUAGGAAAGGGAGAAAAUAGGUAUUUGUGCUGUUUUUCACCCAAAUUGGAGAUCCGGAUAGAUUCGGGGCCGUGGUGUCAGAAUGGUGGUGUUUCACCCCGGGUGGGUCGUCCCCAUCAGCCCAAGUUUUGCUUGUUUUCCACCCAUUUAAAAAUGAAAAACAGUGGCUGAAAGUGCCCCAAAAUGGCAGAAAAUGCCCCCAAAAUGAGCAGUCUGCACAGCAGUGCACGGCUCCGUGCCCUUCAGCGGGCAUUGCAGUGGAAGAAG